GGGAGCCUGGCGCGGUGGGAGGCUGGGCUGCCAUCCCGGCGGCACCUUCCGCGCUGCCCGCUUCAACUGCGGGUGAUCCCAC
Molecule: non-coding RNA, 82 nt
Organism: Turdus rufiventris (rufous-bellied thrush)
Lineage: Eukaryota; Metazoa; Chordata; Aves; Passeriformes; Turdidae
Source: the annotation of a GenBank genome assembly